RNAcentral lists this long non-coding RNA (243 nucleotides) under Lathyrus oleraceus (garden pea). Its description in RNAcentral is "Pisum sativum (pea) long non-coding RNA (PSAT_LNC018264)". The record is from RNAcentral. Lineage: Eukaryota; Viridiplantae; Streptophyta; Magnoliopsida; Fabales; Fabaceae.
AAUUAAAAGGAGAAGAACGAAAAUGGUCCCAUAAUUUUUGGACCAAUAAUGAGAGAGAUAUGAAUUUUUAAAAUAAAAUGGAAUUAAAAUAAAUAAAAGAAAUUAAAAUCAAAAAAUAGAAAAUGAGAAAAAGCGUGGAGCGUUGGAUCUGAGCUCAUUAAUUGAGCUGGCACAUCAUGUGGAUCACAACGCGCGCCUACCAAACACGUGAGUCAAACGAGUCACAUGGAGCAUUAAAAAAAG